Molecule: ribosomal RNA, 888 nt
Filed under: uncultured fungus
Lineage: Eukaryota; Fungi
Description: eukaryotic LSU rRNA
Rfam family: Eukaryotic large subunit ribosomal RNA (bases 193-888)
Source: RNAcentral
AUCCUCAACCGCGCCGAUUGAUUUCGGUGGGGCUUGGACUUGGAGCGUGCUGGCGAAGGUCGGCUCCUCUUUAAAUGCAUCAGCGGAAGAAACCUUUGUCUUUCCUGCCUUCGGUGUGAUAAUCGUGUUGCGCCGUGGUGGAACUUCAACGAUCCGCUUACAAUGGUCUUCGGACAAAACCUCAUGUCAUCUUGACCUCAAAUCAGGUAGGACUACCCGCUGAACUUAAGCAUAUCAAUAAGCGGAGGAAAAGAAACUAACAAGGAUUCCCCUAGUAACUGCGAGUGAAGCGGGAAGAGCUCAAAUUUAAAAUCUGGUGGUCCUCGCGGCCGUCCGAGUUGUAAUCUGGAGAAGCGUUUUCCGCGUCGGACCGUGUACAAGUCUUCUGGAAUGGAGCGUCGUAGAGGGUGAGAAUCCCGUCUCUGACACGGACCGCCGAUGCUUUUGUGAUACGCUCUCGAAGAGUCGAGUUGUUUGGGAAUGCAGCUCAAAACGGGUGGUAAAUUCCAUCUAAAGCUAAAUAUUGGCGAGAGACCGAUAGCGAACAAGUACCGUGAGGGAAAGAUGAAAAGCACUUUGGAAAGAGAGUUAAACAGUACGUGAAAUUGUUGAAAGGGAAACGUUUGAAGUCAGUCGCGUCGGUCGAGACUCAACCUUGCUCUUCUGCUCGGUGCACUUCUCGGCCGACGGGUCAGCAUCAAUUUUGACCGUCGGAUAAAGGCCGAGGGAAUGUGGCAUCUUUCGGGAUGUGUUAUAGCCUUCGGUUCGCAUACGGCGAUCGGGAUUGAGGAACUCAGCGCGCCUUCAUUGGUCGGGGCUUCGGCUCACGUUAACGCGUUUAGGAUGCUGGCAUAAUGGCUUUAAGCGACCCGUCUUGAAACACGGACC